GACGAACGCUGGCGGCGUGCCUAAUACAUGCAAGUCGAGCGAGUCUGCCUUGAAGAUCGGAGUGCUUGCACUCUGUGAAACAAGAUACAGGCUAGCGGCGGACGUGUGAGUAACACGUGGGUAACCUGCCCAAGAGAUCGGGAUAACACCUGGAAACAGAUGCUAAUACCGGAUAACAACAGAUGAUGCCUAUCAACUGUUUAAAAGAUGGUUCUGCUCUCCCUCUUGUAUGUACCUGCGUUGCAUUAGCUAGUUGGUAGGGUAACGGCCUACCAAGGCGAGGAUGCAUAGCCGAGUUGAGAGACUGAUCGGCCACAUUGGGACUGAGACACGGCCCAAACUCCUACGGGAGGCAGCAGUAGGGAAUCUUCCACAAUGGACGAAAGUCUGAUGGAGCAACGCCGCGUGAGUGAAGAAGGGUUUCGGAUCGUAAAGCUCUGUUGUUGGUGAAGAAGGACAGGGGUAGUAACUGAGCAUUGUUUGACGGUAAUCAAUUAGAAAGUCACGGCUAACUACGUG
Molecule: ribosomal RNA, 519 nt
Filed under: uncultured bacterium
Lineage: Bacteria
Description: partial 16S ribosomal RNA
Rfam family: Bacterial small subunit ribosomal RNA
Source: RNAcentral